UUUGUUUUUUAAUUAAAAACURGAAUGAAAGGUUAUACAUUUAAAUUUCUUUAUUAAUUUUUUAUAUAUAAUUUAUAUUAAAUAUAAAAAUAUAUUUUUUAAAUAAAAAGACGAUAAGACCCUAUUAAAUUUUACUUAUAGUUUAACUGGGGAAGUUUUAAAAAUAAAAUUUUUUAUAAAAAUAAAAAUAAAUCUAAUAAAAUUAAAAUUAAAUUAAAUUACUAUAGGGAUAACAGCAUUAUAUUUUUUAAAAGUUCAUAUUAAAAAAAAUGAUUGUGACCUCGAUGUUGAAUUAUAUUUUCUUUAUUAAUGCAAUAAUUAUAAAAGUAGAUCUGUUCGAUCUUUAAAAUAUUACAUGAUUUGAGUUCAAACCGGUGUAAACCAGGUUGGUUUCUAUCUUUUUAUAAAUUCAUAUAUAUAUGUAUAUAUAUAUAUAUAUAAAUUUUUCAAGUACGAAAGGAAAAAAAAAUUUUUAUUUUAAUUAAUUAGCAAUUAAUAUGCAUUAGAUUUAGAAUCUAAAUAAACUAUUAUUAUUAUUAUUAAUUCUUUUAUUUUUAUUAUUAUAUUAUUAAUUUCAGUAGCAUUUUAUACAAUUUUAGAACGAAAAAUUUUAAGAUAUAUUCAAAUUCGAAAAGGUCCAAAUAAAGUAGGUUUUAUAGGAAUUUUACAACCAUUUAGUGACGCUAUCAAAUUAUUUAAUAAAAAUUUAAUUUCAUCUGAAAGAAUAAAUUUUAUAUUAUCGUAUAUAACUCCAGCAUUAUCUUUAAUUUUAAUAAUAAUAAUUAUUUCUAUAUUACCAUUAUAUUUUUAUUCUUUAUUUGAUAAUAAAAAUAACAUUUUAAUAUUUUU
This 849-nucleotide ribosomal RNA is filed under the name Anelosimus eximius. RNAcentral's name for it is "partial 16S ribosomal RNA". Lineage: Eukaryota; Metazoa; Arthropoda; Arachnida; Araneae; Theridiidae. The record is from RNAcentral.